UUCGCAAUGCCCGAAAGGGUGACGAAGCGACGCCGCGUGGGUGAGGAAGGCCUUCGGGUUGUAAAGCCCCGUCAGGAGUUAAGAAAUAUAAGUGCGCUAAUAUCGCAUUUAUUUGACGAAGGCUCCAAAGGAAGUCACGGCUAACUCUGUGCCAGCAGCCGCGGUAAUACAGAGGUGGCAAGCGUUGUUCGGAAUUAUUGGGCGUAAAGAGCACGUAGGUGGGUUUGUAAGUCAGAUGUGAAAGCCUUCUGUUCAACGGAAGAAUUGCAUCUGAAACUGCGAGUCUUGAGUGUAGGAGGGGAGAAUGGAACUUCUGGUGGAGCGGUGAAAUGCGUAGAUAUCAGAAGGAACGCCGGCGGCGAAAGCGAUUCUCUGGCCUAUUACUGACACUCAGUGUGCGAAAGCUAGGGGAGCAAACGGGAUUAGAUACCCCGGUAGUCCUAGCCGUAAACGAUGGGCACUAAGUAGAGGGGUUUU
RNAcentral lists this ribosomal RNA (477 nucleotides) under Candidatus Scalindua brodae. RNAcentral's name for it is "bacterial SSU rRNA". It matches the Rfam family "Bacterial small subunit ribosomal RNA", at positions 365 to 832 of the family's 1533-position model. Lineage: Bacteria; Pseudomonadati; Planctomycetota; Candidatus Brocadiia; Candidatus Brocadiales; Candidatus Scalinduaceae. The record is from RNAcentral.